AUAUCAGUAAGCAGAGGAAAAGAAACUAACAAGGAUUCCCGUAGUAAGGGCGACUGAACGGGGAAGAGUCCAGCGCUGAAUCCGAGCCUCUCCCGCAGGGGCAAGGAGCUGUAGCGUAUAGAGUGCGGUGUCGUCGCGGUCCCUGCCGCUCCAAGUCUCCCUUGAGUGGGGCCCCUGAGAAGGUGCUAGGCCUGUCGGGGUGGCGGUGGUCGUGGCGGUUUGCACCACGCUCUCGGAGUCGGGUUGUUUGGGAACGCAGCCCAAAGUGGGUGGUAAACUUCAUCUAAGACUAAAUACGACUACGAAACCGAUAGCGAACAAGUACCGUGAGGGAAAGUUGCAAAGCACUUUGAAGAGAGAGUUAAAGAGGACGUGAAACCGAUGAGGUGGAAGCGGAUAGAGCCAACGUAUCUGGCUUGCAUUCAGCCGUGCGGCUGGCGUCCGCCCUGCGAGUGGAACCCGCUUCUGGUCCGCUCGUGGGUGCUGGCCGUCGGCCGUCGGUGCAUUUGUGAGUGGAGUGCGCUGAGGUGUGCGCCACAGCGGUCCGAGGCGCUCGCCAGAGGACUCCUCUUCGGGGGAGAAACCCGGCGACGUGGAGGACUGUUUGCGA
This 610-nucleotide ribosomal RNA is filed under the name uncultured fungus. Its description in RNAcentral is "eukaryotic LSU rRNA". It matches the Rfam family "Eukaryotic large subunit ribosomal RNA", at positions 40 to 634 of the family's 3401-position model. Lineage: Eukaryota; Fungi. The record is from RNAcentral.